This is an RNA transcript of Drosophila willistoni, 2903 nucleotides long. It is a transcript of the gene named probable H/ACA ribonucleoprotein complex subunit 1, with no coding region annotated. The record is from RefSeq and is a predicted model, not a curated record. NCBI's taxonomy places the organism in Eukaryota, Metazoa, Arthropoda, Insecta, Diptera, Drosophilidae. The transcript is spliced from 8 exons.
UUUUAAAAACCUUGCAGUAAUCAGUACUUUACUGCUUGUCUUUGAGAACUGUUCAAAUUAUGAAUAAAGCGCUUUAUUUAGUUUUUGUCAUCGGAAUUCGGUUUUCCGUUGUCACAACCAGCUGCAAUGAAUUUGUAACCUCGAAUGAUUUGCAUAACCUGGUAAUGGUUGAAAUUGAGAAAUUUUUUUUGGAUAGCCUUAGUCGAGAAUGCGGAGCUAAUGAAAAUGGCGUUUUCAUGAUGGCUAUUGUAAAGAUCGUAGCAAUGAUUGAAGGUGGAGUGCCCGUUAUGACCGCUCUUGAAAAAUUCGACAUUGUCAUUCGGGAGGAGAUCGAACAAGUUGAAGAAUAUCAAAUAGAGUUAACACGAAAGACUUGGACAAUUAAGUAUUAUGAGCGUGUACCAAUCUACGCGUGUCACGGUUUCUGGGAAUCAAUUACUUGUCAUAUUUAUCCAGUUUUUAAGCUUUGCUAUAAAACUUUUCUAAGGAUACGGUGGUGCAGCAAACAUGGCUGUUAUCGUUAAAUACUACUGCGUUUUGUCUGAAAUAAAUUUUCACAAAAAUUAAAGUUCGUAUUUGAUAAAAUCAAAAUAAAAAUUGACCUUUCCAAACACUGACUUAGUUUCGAUUUAGUUUGAGGUUGAAAGAAUUAAGUUAGUUCCAUAUAAAUCAAUUUUUUUCGAAUAUUAACGAUGUAUUUAUUUUAAAAACCUUGCAGUAAUCAGUACUUUACUGCUUGUCUUUGAGAACUGUUUAAAUUGUGAAUAAAGCGCUUUAUUUAGUUUUUGUCAUCGGAAUUCGGUUUUCCGUUGUCACAACCAGCUGCAAUGAAUUUGUAACCUCGAAUGAUUUGCAUAACCUGGUAAUGGUUGAAAUUGAGAAAUUUUUUUUGGAUAGCCUUAGUCGGGAAUGCGGAGCUAAUGAAAAUGGCGUUUUCAUGAUGGCUAUUGUAAAGAUCGUAGCAAUGAUUGAAGGUGGAAUGCCCGUUAUGACCGCUCUUGAAAAAUUCGACAUUGUCAUUCGGGAGGAGAUCGAAAAAGUUGAAGAAUAUCAAAUAGAGUUAACACGAAAGACUUGGACAAUUAAGUAUUAUGAGCGUGUACCAAUCUACGCGUGUCACGGUUUCUGGGAAUCAAUUACUUGUCAUAUUUAUCCAGUUUUUAAGCUUUGCUAUAAAACUUUUCUAAGGAUACGGUGGUGCAGCAAACAUGGCUGUUAUCGUUAAAUACUACUGCGUUUUGUCUGAAAUAAAUUUUCACUAAAAUUAAAGUUCGUAUUUGAUAAAAGCAAAAUAAAAAUUGACCUUUCCAAACACUGACUUAGUUUCGAUUAAGUUUGAGGUUGAAAGAAUUAAGUUAGUUCCAUAUAAAUCAUUUUUUUUCGAAUAUUAACGAUGUAUUUAUUUUAAAAACCUUGCAGUAAUCAGUACUUUACUGCUUGUCCUUGAGAACUGUUUAAAUUAUGAAUAAAGCGCUUUAUUUAGUUUUUGUCAUUGGAAUUCGGUUUUCCGUUGUCACAACCAGCUGCAAUGAAUUUGUAACCUCGAAUGAUUUGCAUAACCUGGUAAUGGUUGAAAUUGAGAAAUUUUUUUUGGAUAGCCUUAGUCGGGAAUGCGGAGCUAAUGAAAAUGGCGUUUUCAUGAUGGCUAUUAUAAAGAUCGUAGCAAUGAUUGAAGGUGGAAUGCCCGUUAUGAGCGCUCUUGAAAAAUUCGACAUUGUCAUUCGGGAGGAGAUCGAAAAAGUUGAAGAAUAUCAAAUAGAGUUAACACGAACAACAACAACAACACCACUACGAACUUGGACAUAUAAGUAUUAUGAGCAUAUACCAAUCUACGCGUGUCACGGUUUCUGGGAAACAAUUACUUGUCAUAUUUAUCCAGUUUUUAAGUCUUGCUAUAGAACUUAUCUAAGGAUACGGUGGUGCAGCAAACAUGGCUGUUAUGGUUAAAUACUACUGUGUUUUGUCUGAAAUAAAUUUUCCCAAAAAUUAAAGUUCGUAUUUGACAAAAGCAAAAUAAAAAUUGACCUUUCCAAACACUGACUUAGUUUCGAUUAAGUUUGAGGUUGAAAGAAUUAAGUUAGUUCCAUAUAAAUCAUUUUUUUUCGAAUAUUAACGAUGUAUUUAUUUUAAAAACCUUGCAGUAAUCAGUACUUUACUGCUUGUCUUUGAGAACUGUUUAAAUUAUGGUGAGUCUCUUCCUCUCCCAGAUAGAAAGUGCUUUAGUUAGUUUUUGCCAUCGGUUUUAAAUUGACACAACCAAUUGCAAGAAUGAUAAUGUAAAUGGCGUUUUCCUAAUGUUAAUUGUAAAGAUGACAGCAAUCAUUGAAGGUGGAAUGUCCCAUAUAUGUAGAGGCAACAACAAGACGGAAAACUUGGACAUAUAAGUAUUAAAAAGGGUGGAAGUGGACCACCUCCAGGACUGCCGGCAGGAAACAAAAACAAAGCGGGCGGCGGAGCUGACAAAGGAGGCAAAAAAGGACAAGAGCAAAAACCAGCCGGAGGCAGCUCAAAGAAAGGAGGCAAAAAGUAACAACAACAACAAAUAAAAAAUAUAUAAAAAUUACUCUAUACACAAUAUAAACAUAAACAAAUUAAUUGCUAAGUUUUUUAAAACACAUUGAAAAUGUGCAAAUAUGCUUCGGCCCACCGAAGGUGUUAUAUCCUUGCAAUGCCCUUUGACCAUUUCCUUCUGGUUCAUUCUGAAUUCGAAUUCAAGUGAAAUUCGCUUUCAGAAUAAAUUAAAAUUGGGUAUUCUGAAUAAUUAAACAUCGGAAUUAAUCGACUUAAUUACAAUCUUCAAGUUUGGCUUCAGUUUAAACCUUCUGCAAGGGUAUAAAGAUACACAACAGAUUUAAAUAUAUCAGGGAUAAAUAUGACAUUAAUUAUAAUUGUUGAUUAAAUCA